GGAAGGGGUGUAUUUAUUAGAUUAAAAACCAAUGCCCUUCGGGGCUCUCUGGUGAUUCAUAAUAACUUCUCGAAUCGCACGGCCUUGCGCCGGCGAUGGUUCAUUCAAAUUUCUGCCCUAUCAACUUUCGACGGCUGGGUCUUGGCCAGCCGUGGUGACAACGGGUAACGGAGGGUUAGGGCUCGACCCCGGAGAAGGAGCCUGAGAAACGGCUACUACAUCCAAGGAAGGCAGCAGGCGCGCAAAUUACCCAAUCCCGACACGGGGAGGUAGUGACAAUAAAUACUGAUACAGGGCUCUUUCGGGUCUUGUAAUUGGAAUGAGUACAAUUUAAAUCCCUUAACGAGGAACAAUUGGAGGGCAAGUCUGGUGCCAGCAGCCGCGGUAAUUCCAGCUCCAAUAGCGUAUAUUAAAGUUGUUGAGGUUAAAAAGCUCGUAGUUGAACCUUGGGCCUAGCCGGCCGGUCCGCCUCACCGCGUGCACUGGCUCGGCUGGGUCUUUCCUUCUGGAGAACCGCAUGCCCUUCACUGGGUGUGCUGGGGAACCAGGACUUUUAC
This 557-nucleotide ribosomal RNA is filed under the name uncultured Ascomycota. RNAcentral's name for it is "SSU rRNA". It matches the Rfam family "Eukaryotic small subunit ribosomal RNA", at positions 194 to 755 of the family's 1831-position model. Lineage: Eukaryota; Fungi; Ascomycota. The record is from RNAcentral.